Long non-coding RNA from Rhipicephalus sanguineus (brown dog tick), 486 nucleotides. RefSeq lists it as uncharacterized. The transcript is spliced from 2 exons. NCBI's taxonomy places the organism in Eukaryota, Metazoa, Arthropoda, Arachnida, Ixodida, Ixodidae. The record is from RefSeq and is a predicted model, not a curated record.
CCUCAUAAUCAUAUUGUGCUUUUGACACAACAAACGCAACAGUAAUAAUGUUAACUAAUAUUGUUGACAUUGCUUGCUUGUAUCAUUUCAAUUGUGCCUUCUCACCUGUGCAGCAAGGCGUACAUUCAUCUUGCGCAAGCAGUCUGGUUCAAUGUGUGCUUGCGUCAGCUUUGGCACAAUACGAAGCUGCUGGUUCUCCUCGGCUUUGUACAGCAACCGGUAGUGAUCGUAGGCAACUUCACAGUUUCCAGCCUAGAAAAACACAUGCAAAUGAAUUGCACGAUAUCCUGAAUUGCGCCCACAUGGCCUUGUUGCUCCCGGCACCAUCACUGACGACUGCUAUCACUACUGCAUUUUGCUUGAAAAGUUCGAGAACAGCCUCAAGCACAAGCCUGGCAAGGACAUCACCUGGUGCAGCUCCCUUGCUGGCGAAGCUGGCGAUUGGCUGUACCCAGUUACUGAAUAAAGGCACAUACAUGAACACAA